GAGGGUAGAGCUCACUGGAAGAGCGCAUGCUCAGCAUGCUUGUGGCCCUGGGUUCAAUCCCCAGUACCUCCA
RNAcentral lists this transfer RNA (72 nucleotides) under Camelus bactrianus (Bactrian camel). It matches the Rfam family "tRNA". Rfam says of the family: Transfer RNA (tRNA) molecules are approximately 80 nucleotides in length. Their secondary structure includes four short double-helical elements and three loops (D, anti-codon, and T loops). Further hydrogen bonds mediate the characteristic L-shaped molecular structure. tRNAs have two regions of fundamental functional importance: the anti-codon, which is responsible for specific mRNA codon recognition, and the 3' end, to which the tRNAs corresponding amino acid is attached (by aminoacyl-tRNA synthetases). tRNAs cope with the degeneracy of the genetic code in two manners: having more than one tRNA (with a specific anti-codon) for a particular amino acid; and 'wobble' base-pairing, i.e. permitting non-standard base-pairing at the 3rd anti-codon position. The record is from Rfam by way of RNAcentral. RNAcentral also lists the same sequence under 2 other names. Lineage: Eukaryota; Metazoa; Chordata; Mammalia; Artiodactyla; Camelidae.